GGUUCAGGACGAACGCUGGCGGCGUGCCUAAUACAUGCAAGUAGAACGCUGAAGACUUAGCUUGCUAAAGUUGGAAGAGUUGCGAACGGGUGAGUAACGCGUAGGUAACCUGCCUACUAGCGGGGGAUAACUAUUGGAAACGAUAGCUAAUACCGCAUAACAGCAUUUAACACAUGUUAGAUGCUUGAAAGGAGCAAUUGCUUCACUAGUAGAUGGACCUGCGUUGUAUUAGCUAGUUGGUGAGGUAACGGCUCACCAAGGCGACGAUACAUAGCCGACCUGAGAGGGUGAUCGGCCACACUGGGACUGAGACACCGGCCCAGACUCCUACGGGAGGCAGCAGUAGGAAUCUUCGGCAAGUGGGGCCAACCCUGACCGAGCAACGCCGCGUGAGUGAAGGUUAAAGGGUUUUCGGAUACGUAAAGCUCUGUUGUAAGAGAAGAACGUGUGUGAGAGUAGGAAGUUCACACAGUGACGGUAACUUACCAGAAGGGACGGCUAACUACGUGCCAGCAGCAGC
Molecule: ribosomal RNA, 520 nt
Filed under: uncultured bacterium
Lineage: Bacteria
Description: bacterial SSU rRNA
Rfam family: Bacterial small subunit ribosomal RNA
Source: RNAcentral